CAAAUCCCUAAACCUUUUCUUUUUCUCUCCAUGAAGUUUACAAUUUAGUUUUUAAGCUUUGUGGGGUUCUGUUUGUUGUUGUUCUUUAUUCCAUUUUUGUGUGUGUUUUUGUAGGGAAUGGAAGAAAAUUACAGGAGGUUGAAGGAGAUAAACAAGAAGUUGAGAAGGGAGAUUUAAUGGAAGUUAUAUCCCUUUCCCAACUAUGAAUUUGUUAUUAUUUUGUUUCAUUUUAUUGGUUGAUUAGAAUGGGGGAGAUAAAGGACAACGACGCCUACGAGGAAGAGCUUCUCGACUACGAAGAAGAAGAUGAAAAGCCCCUGACUCUGCCUCCAUUAAGGCUGCUGAUUCUGCUAAGAAGGGGUAUGUUGGAAUUCACAGUUCGGGAUUCACAGACUUUUUGCUGAAACCGGAGCUACUUCGAUCUAUUGUGGAUUCUGGUUUUGAACAUCCUUCCGAAGGUUUCUGAGGUUGGAUCUCUUUUAGGUAGAGCUGGUACUGCUGGGCUUGGAAAGGCUGUGGAAGUUUUGGACACCCUUGGUAGUAGCAUGACAAAUUUGAACCUCAACAGUGGCUUUAUCUCAGGGGUAACGACAAAAGGGAAUAAAAUAGCAAUUCUAGCUUUUGAAGUUGCAAAUACGAUCGUUAAAGGUGCCAAUCUGAUGCAAUCGCUUUCUAACGAGAACAUCAGACAUUUAAAAGAGGUGGUCCUUCCAUCAGAAGGAGUGCAAAAUUUGAUAUCAAGAGAUAUGGAUGAACUCCUGAGAAUUGCAGCUGCUGAUAAGAGGGAAGAGUUAAAAGUUUUUUCUGGAGAGGUGGUGCGUUUUGGCAACCGUUGUAAAGAUCCUCAGUGGCAUAAUUUGGAUCGUUAUUUUGAGAAGUUGGGUUCUGAGCUUACACCUGAGAAGCAAUUGAAGGAUGAAGCAGAGGCAAUAAUGCAACAAUUGAUGUCUUAUGUUCAGUAUACAGCCGAAUUAUACCAUGAGUUGCAUGCCUUGGACAGAUUUGAACAAGAUUAUCGACGGAAGCUUCAGGAAGAGGAUAAUUCAACUGCUGUUCAAAGAGAUUGGUGGAUGCUACAUUCCAUAUUUUGGCUGCCCAGCCUGGGAUUAUAACUUAGUUUUCAGAGGCCUAGGUUGAGUCAAACUGGAUAUUGUCUGUGACACUCUCGGCAAUUAUUUGCUGUCUCAGUUCUUUUAAUAUUGAAGGUUCUUUAUGACCAAGUUUUUCCUCCUUCCUUGGUAAUUUUAUCGGGUAUGGCUAAUUUUAUGAUGGUACUAUAAUUUUGAUUUUUACAUGCAGGAGACAGCCUAUUGGACUGUGAUAAAGAACACAUCCCCUAUGCCCUAUUUUCGUUUAAGGACCGCCAAGGAAAUUCUGAAACUGAAAGCUGAUUGAUCGGAUGUGUAUGUCGGCUUUCAUCAACUACUUUCGAAGGCCUUACUAGGAAUUGAAAUGGUGUGCAAAGAGAUUGCUUCUUCUGAUCUGAUUUUUCGAUAUAAAUACUGGACAAAGUAUGGCUAUUUCUUGCCAGUUGCAUUUACUGUUGUUAGUAAAAUAGGAUUCUCUUCUUAGGAUAUUAGUUUCUUCACUUGUAUUAGACUUAACAAUGGCUUGCAUUGCAUUGGUGUUGAUUUUACCUAAAUUUUGAGGUUUAUAAUUUAUAAUUUUUAUUAAUUAUUUACA
Molecule: RNA transcript, 1683 nt
Organism: Gossypium raimondii (Peruvian cotton)
Lineage: Eukaryota; Viridiplantae; Streptophyta; Magnoliopsida; Malvales; Malvaceae
Gene name: protein PSK SIMULATOR 1
Exons: 8
Source: RefSeq, a predicted model, not a curated record